GGGCCGUUAGUUCAGUUGGUAGAAUGCGUCUCUCCUACGAAAGGGAUUCAAGAUGAGGUCCUGGGUUCGAGCCCCAGGCGGCCCU
This is a non-coding RNA of Malassezia nana, 85 nucleotides long. The record is from the annotation of a GenBank genome assembly. NCBI's taxonomy places the organism in Eukaryota, Fungi, Basidiomycota, Malasseziomycetes, Malasseziales, Malasseziaceae.